UACGAAGGGGGCUAGCGUUGCUCGGAAUCACUGGGCGUAAAGCGCACGUAGGCGGCUUUUUAAGUCAGGGGUGAAAUCCUGGAGCUCAACUCCAGAACUGCCUUUGAUACUGAGAAGCUUGAGUCCGGGAGAGGUGAGUGGAACUGCGAGUGUAGAGGUGAAAUUCGUAGAUAUUCGCAAGAACACCAGUGGCGAAGGCGGCUCACUGGCCCGAUACUGACGCUGAGGCACGAAAGCGUAGGGAGCAAACAGG
This 253-nucleotide ribosomal RNA is filed under the name uncultured bacterium. Its description in RNAcentral is "partial 16S ribosomal RNA". It matches the Rfam family "Bacterial small subunit ribosomal RNA", at positions 524 to 776 of the family's 1533-position model. The record is from RNAcentral.